AGUUCGAUGGUGUAGUUGGUUUAUCACUUCUGUCUCACAGUCAACGCAUGUGCACAGGCGGUCCUCAGUUCGAACCUGGGUCGAAUCA
Non-coding RNA from Mycena galopus ATCC 62051, 88 nucleotides. Lineage: Eukaryota; Fungi; Basidiomycota; Agaricomycetes; Agaricales; Mycenaceae. The record is from the annotation of a GenBank genome assembly.